ACCCAGCUGACAAGUCCCAAAUAGGACGAAAUGCGCUUUAUCCUGGAU
Molecule: non-coding RNA, 48 nt
Filed under: Trichobilharzia regenti
Lineage: Eukaryota; Metazoa; Platyhelminthes; Trematoda; Strigeidida; Schistosomatidae
Source: RNAcentral